CUGCCUUCUGACAGAGAUCAGCUGUUCUUCUCUGGCUUCAGCUCUGAGGUCAAACCCCUCUCAUCUGAUAGAACUGGAUCUGAGACUAAACGACCUGCAGGACUCAGGAGUGAAGGAGCUUCUUGAUCUACAGCAGAGUCCAACCUGUCGACUGGAGACUCUGAGGUGGAGCUGAGUGUGAAGAGGACAGUGUGAAGAGGACAGUGUGAAGAGGACAGUGUGAAGAGGACAGUGUGUGUGGACGGAGGCUGAGCUGUGUCCUGAGGAUCCAGAGGCUGAAGCAGCAGCAGCUUGUGUGUAGUCUCCAAUCUACACAACCCCUAAUCUGCAUGUGUUUGUGAGAUGAAGCCGGAGCACCUGGAGAAAACACGGGGAGAACAUGCAGACUCCACACAGGAAGACCCCAUCUGAACCGGAUUCAAACCAGCAACCUUCCUGCCCAGAUUGUGUUUAUUCACAUGAAGAAUGUGUUUAUUGAAAUGACACAACACAAGCAGAAUAUAUAAACCCUCUAUAAAGAGUCACAUACAGUGUGUUUAAGUUUGUCUUUAUUAUUGUCCACCUUUGUCCCUCAGUGUGUCUCCAUGUGUGUUGAACCACAUUCUGUGUAUAUGUUUGUUUAUGAUCUUAAAGUUCCUGGAUUCACGUCACAAAUUGAUUUAGUUCAACACAAAGUUCAACACAUUGAAAUCACUUUGAGUUUAAAAUCAGAGUUUUGUCUUUGACACAAAAGAUCAAAACUCUGGACUUAAAAAUGGGACGUUUUCAUUUCUGCAUCAGGUGCAGAGCGGUGGUGGCUUUUCUACUUUUGACCCACAGGUGGCGCUGCAGUAUAACAGCAGCACAUCCCAGUCAAAGCCUUUAUAUUCAGUCUAUGAGUCAAACACAUGGAUCAUUUCCUCUGUGACAAACCAGAUGUAACGAGAAGAAAAACAUCUCAGAGAGAAAAGUUCUGUUUCUACUUGUCUCUGCUUUAAUGCUCAAUAAACAUCCUUCCACCGACUUCACUGGAA
Pleuronectes platessa (European plaice) is the source of this 1013-nucleotide long non-coding RNA. RefSeq lists it as uncharacterized. The transcript has 2 exons. The record is from RefSeq and is a predicted model, not a curated record. Lineage: Eukaryota; Metazoa; Chordata; Actinopteri; Pleuronectiformes; Pleuronectidae.